Molecule: ribosomal RNA, 253 nt
Filed under: uncultured bacterium
Lineage: Bacteria
Description: partial 16S ribosomal RNA
Rfam family: Bacterial small subunit ribosomal RNA
Source: RNAcentral
UACGAAGGGUGCUAGCGUUGCUCGGAAUCACUGGGCGUAAAGCGCACGUAGGCGGACUCUUAAGUCGGUGGUGAAAUCCUGGAGCUCAACUCCAGAACUGCCUUCGAUACUGAGAGUCUCGAGUCCGAGAGAGGUGAGUGGAACUGCGAGUGUAGAGGUGAAAUUCGUAGAUAUUCGCAAGAACACCAGUGGCGAAGGCGGCUCACUGGCUCGGUACUGACGCUGAGGUGCGAAAGCGUGGGGAGCAAACAGG